Molecule: long non-coding RNA, 225 nt
Filed under: Elaeis guineensis (African oil palm)
Lineage: Eukaryota; Viridiplantae; Streptophyta; Magnoliopsida; Arecales; Arecaceae
Description: long non-coding RNA (EGUI_LNC070142)
Source: RNAcentral
GGGCUAAUUUAGAACCAAUUUGAGCCAAAUUGGAUUUGGUCUUGAAGUGGGUUCGAAGUGUUUUAAUUGGGCUUGCUGUUGGGUGCCAAAAACCAGGGAACCACAUGCCUAAGAGUCUCUCUCUUGGCGUGUGGAUUUGAAUCCAUGCGCAUGAACCACAUGGCACAUGGAUGGAGUUGGCGCAACCUUUAGAUAAGGCCUUUCCUAUUUUUUCUCCGUGACUUU